This 3864-nucleotide long non-coding RNA is filed under the name Hordeum vulgare. RNAcentral describes it as "long non-coding RNA (HVUL_LNC017931)". Lineage: Eukaryota; Viridiplantae; Streptophyta; Magnoliopsida; Poales; Poaceae. The record is from RNAcentral.
GAUGCAUACAUAGGUGAAGGACAAGUUAGUGCUACUUCCCUAUUCUGGUUUCAAAUAGAUAGGUUUUUUUGAAGUAUGCAUAGAUUUGUAACAAUGAGCAUAGGUGGUUAUAGGUUGUUGUGAUGAUGAAUAUAAAUAUUAAGUAGUACGCAUGCAUGCAUCUGGACCUCUUAUUGUAGUAGAUCAUAUGCUUGAUCUAGUUUGAACCUUCGCUUAGUAGGAUCUGUAGGUUACCGCGACACACACACACCGAUGCUCUGUUGCUGUCAAGGAAAAAAUAGCGCGCUAAAACGCCGCUAUAGCGCGCUAAUAGCGUAUUUGAAAACUAAACGCUACGCUAUGCAUAUUUCAGUCGCUACGGCGCUAUUCACGCUAAAUACGGCAAUUUCGCGCUAUAGCGCGUAUCGACGCUAUUUUUUGACGUGACGUUAUUUUUUUCAGACGAAUUUUUCAUCAGCCCACUAUUCUUUUGGGGGCUUUCCGGCCCACUAACUCUAACCAGCGGCGAGCCAGCAACCAGACCUACUGAGUGACAGCGAACCCUAACCAAACCUAUCGAGCAACGGUGGCAGCGGCGGCUGCCGGUGCUUCGCCCGUCUCCUCCAGCCACGACCGAACGCCUCUUGCCGCCUCCUCCGCUCGCAGCCUCCUUCCCUCUUAUCGCCUCUUGCCGCCUCCUCGGGUCGCCUCGCCGUCGCCUCCUCUAGUCCUCUCCUCUUGCUCCAACUCGAUGUCGGUGUCAGCUUCAGCGGCGGCGACGGCAAGCAAGCAACCAGGUAAGACUCACGAUGCCCUGCACGAACACCUUCCCGCUCUCGCCGGCCGCCGCCUGGCCGUCGGACCCGGCUGACGGAACGACCAUGAAGGGCGUGGUUAUCUGGUUGUUACACGAUGGACAGUGGGUGCCGUAACUGCCCAUCAUGUAAAUCUGGCAGCUGUUGCAUCUAGCCUGCUGGCUACUGCUCCUGCCAAUUCUUAAUUAGUCAAUCACCAACUCGAUUCUUGAUGAACAGUUGAACACCGAUUCAAAAGUUGUCCAUGACUUGUGUAGUAAUUAGUAAAUGCUUAUAAAUGCCAUGUAAAAUUGUAAAUGCUUGCAGACUUGAUGAUUGCUCUCAGUCCACAUUAUUUAUUUCCAAAUGUAAAUAAAUACUUUGCUGCAAUACUAAAAUACUUUGUUGUAUUCAUGAAUGUAGGCGUUGUUGUGUCAAGCACAACAUCAACAGCUGCACAUGGAGAAGGAACACAGGUUGUUGCUCCUAGAUCAAAAGAUCAAGCAUAGAAGAGGUUGGUGAGAAUCAUGUAGUUCAAGUUGUGACUAAUAAUGCAAGUGUUAAUCAAGCGCAUCAAUCUUGUUGAAAGCAAAGCGCCCCAACAUAUUUUGGACUGGUUGUGCUGCCCAUACUAUUGAUCUGAUGUUAGAGGAUAUUGGCAAGAUUAAAACAGUGGACUGUACUAUUACACAAGCUAGAGGUGUCACUGUUUUCCUUUAUGCACACACUAGAGUUUUGUCUGUAAUGAGGGAAUUCCUUGGGAAAGAUCUGGUGAGGUCUGGCAUUACAAGGUUUUCUACAACUUACUUGAACUUGAAAAGCAUGCUGGACAACAGGAAAGAACUGCAGAAGCUAUUCAGAUCAGAUCAGAUGGAUGAAAUGGGUUACGUAAAAAAGGUGAAAGGACGUGAUUCAAACCGAAGUGUGCACUCUGAAUUUUUUUGGACAGGAGUAGAAUGUGCUGUCAACUUCUUUGAGCCUUUGGCUAAUUUGUUGCGGCGAAUGGACAGCGAUGUACCAGCUAUGGGUUUCAUAUAUGGCGCUUUUUUGGAUGCAAAGAAGGAGAUUGCAGCUAGAUUUGACAAUGAGGAGGCUAGUAUCCAGCAAGUGCUACACAUUAUUGAUAAGAGAUGGGACAACAAAUUGAAGGGGCCCCUACAUAGGGCUGCAUACUUCUUAAACCCAUCCUACUACUAUGAAAACAAGCUGGAGAUUGAGUUGGAUGGAACAUUUAAAGAUGGCCUUGUUGCUUGCAUGGAGAAGAUGGUUAGAGAUGGUAAAAAGCAAGAUAUAAUGACAGCUGAGUGUCAGGCAUAUCAAAAUGAAUAGGGGUUGUUUGGAAGGGACAGUGCUAAAAGGCAGCGGAGAAACAAGAACUUUGAUCCAGGUAAAGAACAAAAUAUUUACAUUGUUGAAAUAAGAUGUGUAGGCUACAAUGCGAAUUAGAUGUUGCAGCUUUGUUAACUGUUAUUUGUUACUUGUUGAUGCAGCUGAAUGGUGGUCUAAUCAUGGGUCAAGUGCACCAAAUCUCAGGAUACUGGCUAUGCGGAUUUUGAGCUUGACGUGCAGCUCAUCAGCUUGUGAGAGAAACUUCAGUGUUUUUCAGCAGGUAAGAAUUUAGUACAAAGUACAAACUGUCAAGAUAUCCUUUAUAUGCACAUAUGUUUCUUCUUCUUACUGAUGUUCGUUUACUUGCAAUGUACAAUCAGGUUCAAGGCAGCAAAAGGCGCAAUAGGCUACUUCAUGACAAAAUGAGAGAUCUUGUCUUCAUCAAGGCCAAUUCCCAACUUGAACAAAAGAGAAUGAACAAACAGAGGGAUCCACUUGUGGAGACAACACAUGCAGAUGUUUUGGAAGAUGAAGAUAACGAGUGGAUCACAGGAAUUGUGUCGGUUCCAAUUUUGGAAGUGGAAACUGUAGAUGAACCUGAAGAAGAACCAAUACCACAACCAAGAGCAAGAGCUGCCCCAUCAAACAGAUUUAAAGCUCGUCGGCAUAGGAAGAAGUUGCUCCCAGCUUUUCGUGAUGAUGAGCUGCAAUCUGCGGGUUCUUCUUCUGAUUCGAAUGAUGAUGCCAUGGCAGCGAGUUCAUCUGAUUUUGAUUGACCUUAUGCAUCGUUGUUGGCUGGCUCCUAAAGUUCUAAGUCCUUAUUUUUGCUAUUCUGGACCUUGCUUGUUGGCUGUUUAAUUCCUGUGUCAACUUUGUUUGUCUGAAAUCUCGAUGUAUGAACUAUUAAACUCUGAACAAUGGUUUAGCCUUGGUUUUAGCUGCUGAAAUAUGUCAUUUGUGUUGCUAUAUGCUGAAAUUUGAACAAUGUUUUGUGACACGCUAUUUUGUAAAAUAGCGCGCUAUUUCGUUCAUAGCGUUUUUUAAAGGCUGCGCUAUUUCAAAUAGCGCCCUAUUUUUUUCCUUGGUUGCUGUUGCAUAAUGUGCUUUUACAAGUGCGCACAAUGAGUUUACUGGUCUCCUUGGGACCGGAGAAGCAGAAUGUUACUUUGUAGAAUCAUUGUUCAGCCUCUUUGUUUAUAUAUGCGGAGUUCUUAUUCAUUUGAUUUUAUCCUCCUGGUAGGCUCUUGUAGCUUAAACUAUGAACAUUUCUGUCACAUACCGUCUCUUUAAAUCUGAAUCUUGAUUGCUUCUAUUUCACAUGUGAGUAUACUGUACAUAAAGAAAAUCCUAGCUAGUUUGAGAACAUUUUAGUCGCAUAAACACAUACUAAUUAAUUUAGUCAUACUAUUUAUGUACAUUUCAUUUGCUGACAAUUCUUGCUUCUAAGUUAUUGGAUCCGUCAUUGACCAUUGUUUGAUGUUCUCGACACAUUCUUAUUCUUAUAUGUUCAUUCUUAUUUUUUGCACAGGUGAAGUGUGAAUCCAAGUCUGAAGCUGUGAAGCAUAUCAGCAAAGAGUAGCAUAUUAUGUAUUGUAAUUGUAGGCAGUAGUAGGCUUAUUUGGGUUGUAGUAUAAUGUAACGAUUGUAAUAGACUAAUGUAGUGUUGUUUUAGACGAAUUCCAUUUGCUCUUUGGAUUCUUCAAAAUAAUGAUUUUGUAUGUGACUUGAAUACCCCGGAAAUGGUAACCUGGCAAAGGGGUUC